RNAcentral lists this ribosomal RNA (802 nucleotides) under uncultured crenarchaeote. RNAcentral describes it as "bacterial SSU rRNA". It matches the Rfam family "Archaeal small subunit ribosomal RNA", at positions 88 to 873 of the family's 1478-position model. Lineage: Archaea; Thermoproteati; Thermoproteota. The record is from RNAcentral.
GCUCAGUAACACGUAGUCAACCUGCCCUAGAGACAUGAAUAACCCCGGGAAACUGGGAUUAAUACAUGAUAGAUCAUCUCAUCUGGAAGGAGAGAUGGUUUAAAGGGGUGCGCGAGCUUCUUUUGUGCAUCCGCUCUAGGAUGGGACUGCGGCCGAUCAGGCUGUUGGUGGGGUAAUGGCCCACCAAACCUGUAACCGGUACGGGCCUUGAGAGAGGGGGCCCGGAGAUGGACACUGAGAGAAGGGUCCAGGUCCUACGGGGCGCAGCAGGCGCGAAACCUUCGCAAUGCGCGAAAGCGUGACGAGGUUAAUCCGAGUGGUUCCCGCUGAGGGAAUCUUUUGUUGGCUCUAAAAUGGCCAGUGAAUAAGGGGAGGGCAAGUCUGGUGUCAGCCGCCGCGGUAAUACCAGCUCCUCGAGUGGUCGGGGCGAUUAUUGGGCCUAAAGCAUCCGUAGCCUGUUCUGUAGGUCUUCUGUUAAAUCCAACGGCUUAACCGUUGGCCUGCAGAAGAUACCGCAGGACUAGGAGGCGGGAGAGGUGGACGGUACUCCACGUGUAGGGGUAAAAUCCUUUGAUCCGUGGAAGACCACCAGUGGCGAAGGCGGUCCACCAGAACGCGCUCGACGGUGAGGGAUGAAAGCUGGGGGAGCGAACCGGAUUAGAUACCCGGGUAGUCCCAGCCGUAAACGAUGCGAGCUAGAUGAUCCAAUCGCAAAUCGCGAUUGGAGUGUCGCAGGGAAGCCGUUAAGCUCGCCGCCUGGGGAGUACGGUCGCAAGACUGAAACUUAAAGGAAUUGGCGGGU